RNAcentral lists this unclassified non-coding RNA (792 nucleotides) under Hevea brasiliensis (rubber tree). The record is from RNAcentral. Lineage: Eukaryota; Viridiplantae; Streptophyta; Magnoliopsida; Malpighiales; Euphorbiaceae.
AGAAAACCAAGCAAGGUAAGUUUUUCAUUUUUUGACCUGGGAAUUUUAAGUGAUAUUAGUGUAAGCAAGAGGUUCGAGGCUUUUAUGCUUUUAUUUUGCCUUGUGAAGGUUGUCUUCCCUUAGUGUUUGUUUUUUUAAAGUUUUGUUUGGUUGCCGAGAAAGUACGAUAGAAGAAGUGAAAUUGAAGUUGAGUUUCUUUUUAUUUGUUAUAGAAACCACUAUACCUAAUUGACCAUUAUGGAAUUGUUUGGAUUAGUUGAUUUUUUCUGUAAUUGAGGCAUGCUUAUGGAGUUUGUUGUCAACGACAACAAGGUUUUAUUCAGAUUUUUUUAGUUCUCAAAAUGAAACUCGAAUGGAUUUUGAAGUAACUGUUUCUUUGGUUGUUUCUGUAUCUGCUUAUCUUGUUCUUUUCAGUUUAUUUGUUUUUAUACUUUGAGAUGUAAACUGCAUCAUUAUCUUAUAUUUUGCAUACAAAAUUGCAGAUGAGAAGUAAAAUUUGUGAAAUGUAAAAGAAAGAAACACAAAAUUUAAACUUUCCCAUCUUAGUUUCUCAACAAAUGUCAAUUUCGCCUGGGAAGUUGCUCUGCCAUAGUUGCUUUAGGUGGUUAUUUCUUUUAUUGGAAAUCCAACAUAUAAAAAGCUAGGUUUUGAAAAUUAUUAUUCUUCUCUAGUUGAAACAAAGUAGUAUAUUUGUAUUUGAUGGGCUUCUUGCUCUAAACACUGAUAUUCAAUAGCACUUUCCAUUUGAGCAUUUGAGGGUUAGUUGUUUAUCCAUGUCUGUGAAAGUUGUUG